RNAcentral lists this ribosomal RNA (549 nucleotides) under uncultured bacterium. Its description in RNAcentral is "bacterial SSU rRNA". It matches the Rfam family "Bacterial small subunit ribosomal RNA", at positions 355 to 895 of the family's 1533-position model. The record is from RNAcentral.
UAGGGAAUCUUCGGCAAUGGACGGAAGUCUGACCGAGCAACGCCGCGUGAGUGAAGAAGGUUUUCGGAUCGUAAAGCUCUGUUGUAAGAGAGGAACGAGUGUGAGAGUGGAAAGUUCACACUGUGACGGUAUCUUACCAGAAAGGGACGGCUAACUACGUGCCAGCAGCCGCGGUAAUACGUAGGUCCCGAGCGUUGUCCGGAUUUAUUGGGCGUAAAGCGAGCGCAGGCGGUUAGAUAAGUCUGAAGUUAAAGGCUGUGGCUUAACCAUAGUAGGCUUUGGAAACUGUUUAACUUGAGUGCAAGAGGGGAGAGUGGAAUUCCAUGUGUAGCGGUGAAAUGCGUAGAUAUAUGGAGGAACACCGGUGGCGAAAGCGGCUCUCUGGCUUGUAACUGACGCUGAGGCUCGAAAGCGUGGGGAGCAAACAGGAUUAGAUACCCUGGUAGUCCACGCUGUAAACGAUGAGUGCUAGGUGUUAGACCCUUUCCGGGGUUUAGUGCCGUAGCUAACGCAUUAAGCACUCCGCCUGGGGAGUACGACCGCAAGGUU